Molecule: ribosomal RNA, 485 nt
Filed under: Lactobacillus sp. oral taxon 461
Lineage: Bacteria; Bacillati; Bacillota; Bacilli; Lactobacillales; Lactobacillaceae
Description: bacterial SSU rRNA
Rfam family: Bacterial small subunit ribosomal RNA
Source: RNAcentral
GAUGGAGCAACGCCGCGUGAGUGAAGAAGGUUUUCGGAUCGUAAAGCUCUGUUGUUGGUGAAGAAGGAUAGAGGUAGUAACUGGCCUUUAUUUGACGGUAAUCAACCAGAAAGUCACGGCUAACUACGUGCCAGCAGCCGCGGUAAUACGUAGGUGGCAAGCGUUGUCCGGAUUUAUUGGGCGUAAAGCGAGCGCAGGCGGAAAAAUAAGUCUAAUGUGAAAGCCCUCGGCUUAACCGAGGAAUUGCAUCGGAAACUGUUUUUCUUGAGUGCAGAAGAGGAGAGUGGAACUCCAUGUGUAGCGGUGGAAUGCGUAGAUAUAUGGAAGAACACCAGUGGCGAAGGCGGCUCUCUGGUCUGCAACUGACGCUGAGGCUCGAAAGCAUGGGUAGCGAACAGGAUUAGAUACCCUGGUAGUCCAUGCCGUAAACGAUGAGUGCUAAGUGUUGGGAGGUUUCCGCCUCUCAGUGCUGCAGCUAGCGCAUU